This 480-nucleotide ribosomal RNA is filed under the name uncultured bacterium. RNAcentral's name for it is "bacterial SSU rRNA". It matches the Rfam family "Bacterial small subunit ribosomal RNA", at positions 30 to 507 of the family's 1533-position model. The record is from RNAcentral.
UUGAACGCUGGCGGCAUGCCUUACACAUGCAAGUCGAACGGCAGCACGGGGCAACCUGGUGGCGAGUGGCGAACGGGUGAGUAAUGCAUCGGAACGUGCCAUUGAGUGGGGGGUAACGUAGCGAAAGUUACGCUAAUACCGCAUAUUCUGUGAGCAGGAAAGCAGGGGAUCGCAAGACCUUGCGCUCUUUGAGCGGCCGAUGUCAGAUUAGCUAGUUGGUGAGGUAACGGCUUACCAAGGCGACGAUCUGUAGCGGGUCUGAGAGGAUGAUCCGCCACACUGGAACUGAGACACGGUCCAGACUCCUACGGGAGGCAGCAGUGGGGAAUUUUGGACAAUGGGGCAACCCUGAUCCAGCCAUGCCGCGUGAGUGAAGAAGGCCUUCGGGUUGUAAAGCUCUUUCGGCCGGGAAGAAAUCGCAUGGGUUAAUACCCUGUGUGGAUGACGGUACCGGCAUAAGAAGCACCGGCUAACUACGUG